CUGGGUGUGCGGCAAUGGACGGCAGGGAUGACCCCCUGUGGUGAAUCCUUUGUGGGUACCUUGGGCCAUAACCCACCAUGUAGGACAUCUUCAAGGGAUUGUCUCCUAGUAGCUCGGAGCCUCUUAGGGGUGAUGGCGGUUCCACCACAAUUGACCACCUGGCGGGCAGUGUUUAAGUAUUUGGCGUAGCUCAAGAGCAGAAAUGAGGUGGAGGUCACAUAUUGCAUGUUGCUAUCAUUCAUUUUGAAAAGAAGACCACCUGCAACAAAAACCAAGACCAAUACUAGCCGUUACAAACAGGACCACUCUCUAGUCUUUUAAGAGAGAGAGAGAGAGAGAGAGAGAAAACAAUACCUGGGGUGUAUUGGGCUGAAGAGUAAGAGGCUCCUGGUAUGAUUGAACAGAUAAAACUAUCUGCAUGACCUUUGUAGUCAUGGAGGGAUCUGACCUUCUGGAUGAGGAAUGCCUGUAAAAUCAAAGGGCGCAUUAUAGAUCAAAAGACUGAGGAACAUAAAAGAUAAAGCCAGCUGCAAAAACAAGUUUUUUAUUAUAGAAA
Non-coding RNA from Prunus avium (sweet cherry), 556 nucleotides. Lineage: Eukaryota; Viridiplantae; Streptophyta; Magnoliopsida; Rosales; Rosaceae. The record is from RefSeq and is a predicted model, not a curated record.